CCUAACUGUAAACGAGCAACUGUUGUUCACCUUCUUACUGUUUUGAAGAUAGUAUGUUUUAUACAGUUUUUCGUAGAACUAAUUGUAAUUAUCAACAAAGGUAGGUUUGCAGCAACCUGCGGUUUUCGGAAGGCAUACAUCCACAGCAGCGCACCAUCAACAAAACACUUCAGAAAAGGAAUCCAUGCUCUUUGGUUCAGUUCCAAUAUGUCCACACUACAUACCGUCAUACUUCAACAUACUAUUUGCGUACAAAAUCAAGAACGCUCAUAAUCCUGAAUCUUUAUUUAAUGUACCGACCGAAAGUGCCAUGUAAUCGUCAAACAUAUGAGACUGAUAAACAGGUCUACCUGGAAGCGGCUAAUGGAGAUAACGUUUAAAAAUGCAGUUUACUAUGUAUCCUCACAUAUGAAGAGUGAAAUCAUUACAGCUGAGACAUAGUAUCUCACUCUCCAUCAAUCGUUAAGAUCUCCACAAUCAGUACGGAAUCGCAGUAUUGAGUGUAACUAUUACUAUGCUCAAGGAUAUAGUUGAGUUCUUAUCCUAAUCGUGUUUGUGGAAUGGAGCAAGAUUCUUCUCUAACACUGCGACUGCAAGAAUGUUGGAUCUAAUUGUCCUGCAGCAAAUUAUAGGUGACAUAAGAAUAACGUGCCGAAAACUCGUCAACUACUACACCAUUUUCAGUAAGGAAGUUAUUAUCCCUCCGGUACUCGCGCGAAUGGCUCCCC
Topomyia yanbarensis is the source of this 728-nucleotide long non-coding RNA. RefSeq lists it as uncharacterized. The record is from RefSeq and is a predicted model, not a curated record. The transcript has 5 exons. Lineage: Eukaryota; Metazoa; Arthropoda; Insecta; Diptera; Culicidae.